GUAAUGGUGGUUCUUAAAAUUGGCUAAAUCAUCAGAAUCUCCUGAGGAGUUUCUAAAGUUUAGAUUUCUGGGGUCCCACCGCAGACCCACUAGAUCAGAAUCUCCAGAGGACAGUCUGGGUGUCUGUCUUUAAAAGCUCUGCACAAAAUGUGCACGUAGUUAAUAUUGCUGUGCUGUGCACUGAAAAAUGGUUAAGAUGGUAUAGCGUACGUUACAAGUUUUUUACCAUAUAAAAAACAGCUCUGCAGGUGAGUUCUGAGGAUUUUCCAAGUGGGGACACUACCUGCCUCUGAGUUUUGACAGGAGCCCUCAAGGUUUGAGCACCGUCCUGGCCUCGUCCCAGGGCCCCGAGUGUGAGUCCAUGUGGCACUGCCCAGGGAGCCACCAUCCUACCUGGACAUUGAUCUCGUUGUGCUGCUCGGUGAUCUCCACCACCUCCUGCUCCAGCAGCUCGCGGGAGCGCUCACUGCCCUCUAGGGCCGAGCGCACCUCCUCCAGUUCUGUUUGCAGCAGGCUCAGGCGCCACUCCUACAGGUCGUCCUGCUCCCGCAGCUCCUCAUGCUGCCAGGCAUCCUCGUCCAUCUGGACCUGCAGGGAUUUUUGUUGGUUUUGUCCAUUCUCGUACCACUAGCUCCUAAUACAGUGACUGGACAGGGCAGGUCUCCAGUAAACAAGUGUUGAAUGCAUGGAUCCAACUACGUGUGCUUCAAAGACCGCCCGAUGGCAGAAACGAAGAAAGGGGGACUUCAACUCUAUUCAUGUGUAUUUCUUAAGCCUUUUUGGUGUCUUCACAAGUUCGCUGUUCUUGGCGUGGUCCAGCUGGAUUUCCAUCUCAUUCAGGUCCGUUUCCAUCUUCUUCUUCAGCCAAAGUGCCUCUGCCCAGCCUUUGGCCUCCGCCUCCAGGCUGGCCUGCAAGGACUCAAUUGCCUACCCAUGGUUCUUCCUGCAAGUCCAGGCACAGAAGUCCUUGGCAUACUGGGCCCGCUGUUCAGCCUGUGCUAAACCUCCCUAGAUAAGCGAACUCUCAGCAUCAGCGUGGGUAUGGCCACCAUGUUGUGAAAUUAAAUUGUAUUUCCCCUUAAAGCAUUUAAGUCGGGGAGCAUCAUGCUUUGGGAAAAGGAAUAGAAGGUCACUGUUUACCACAUGUCUCAAUUCAAUUAACGUGCAAAACAGCCCUGCAAGGAGGCUGAGGCUCCAAGAUGACGAAAAAUGUGCUAAAGGUCACCCGUUUAGCCCACAAUGGAGUCAGGAUUCAAACCUAGAUGCUAAGCUCCCUAUUUUUUUUUCAUUACAAAAUGUGAGCUUUGGCUAUACAAGUCAGGUUUCUAUCUCUCUUCAAAAGAACAGUAAUGGAUUGUAUUUAAUAGACAUUCAAUUAUAUUGUAAUCAACGUAAUAAACAUUUCCAUAAAGUCCUC
RNAcentral lists this long non-coding RNA (1417 nucleotides) under Equus caballus (horse). RNAcentral describes it as "lncRNA (ENSECAG00000052687.1)". Lineage: Eukaryota; Metazoa; Chordata; Mammalia; Perissodactyla; Equidae. The record is from RNAcentral.